GAAAGCUUCCAAUCUCAUUUUAUCUCCAUUACUUUCUACACCAAAAUUGGGUCCCACAACCCGGUUCUUUGUCAGAGGAUAGCAGUUGAGUACUAGUGGUGGUCUCGGGUAGAAUUGGUAAGAAGACAUCAAACCUUUUGUAAGCUUCAAAGGUAAUACUUCUUAAAACCCUAAUUUGAUUAGUUUAUGGUUACAUGUUAAUUGUGGCAAUUAGGGUAGAAAUUCGAUUCUUUUUCCGCUGUGCAUGACUUAGUUCUAUCAUGCCUUAAAUAUCAAGAUAAUUAAAUUAUUAUUUUAAAAUUGGAAGAAACUCAACAUUAAAAAAUAUUAACUUGUUCGGACACAAGCAUAGAAGCACUGCGCACACACGUACACAUGCACACUUACACAAACGCGUGCACACGCACACCUACACAUAGACACCCACAGAUGCACGAACCCACGCACACACACAUGCACAAGCGCACGCACGCACACACACACGUAUCCACACGCACACAAGCACAUACACAUGCACAAACGCACACACGUGUACGCACAAACCUUAUCUCAAAAUAGUUCCUAUUUUUGCUGACAGUUUAUUUUUUGCCAUCGAUAGAGGAUCUUCCAAUAGACCUACGUGACAGUGUGUGUUGACAGCUUAAUUUCGUUGGCAAAAGAAAAGUUGAUUAGUUUUUGAAGAUUUACUGACGAUAUUUGUCAUCGACAAAGGGUAAAUUUCUUGGAGUGCAUGUACAUCAAACAUAUCAAAUUUGUUAAGUUUACCAAUGAAGUAUAACAAGUUUAUUAGUGGUGUAUCACGUGUAUCAAACUUAUAAGUGAAAUCUUUAAGUGUAUCAAACUAAUCAAGUGUAUCAAGGUCUCAGGGGUAUCAAGUGUAUCAAGAAGAAUCAAGUGUAACGAGAAGUAUUAUGUGGAACGAGAAGUAUUAUGUGUAUGAAGAUGUUUCAAGUGUGUAUCAAAAAGUAUCGAGUGUAUCAAUGAGUACCGAGUGCAUGAAUUGUAUCUAUCAAAUGUAUCAAGUGUAUCAGUAAGAAGUAUCAAGUGUAUCAAGGGGUAUUAGGUGUAUCAGACGUGUAUAAGGUGUAUCAAAUAUACAUCAAUAACGAGGGCAUUUGUGACAUUUUACCUCUUGAUGUGUGAGUUGGUCUUUGUUUUUGUCACUUUCUCAAAUAAUAAGGUAUGUGUUCUAUGGACUUAAUUAAUUAUAACUUAUUUUGCCAUUUUUGCAAGUGUCCCUUAAUUGUAAUACAUGUAUAUGUGACAUAAUAUAAUCAAACUAACUCAUAAAUGGACUUAAUCUAUCUCAUGGACCACAAAUUCUUCAAUUACUUGCAAAUUUGGUGAGUUCCUUCAAAUGGUGGGCGGAGAGCUUAAUUUUGAGAGAGAGGAAAAGUCGUGAAGAGUAUUUGCGAGAGAGGGGGGAACGUCGCCAAAGAGCAUUUGCGAGAGAGCUAAAGACAACGACGAUGUGGGAUGAAGUAAGGUUUUUUUCGGUCAUUGUUCACAAGUGGGAUGAAAGCUUCGAAUUAUUUGUUUUAAAUCAAAAGCGUAUGAUUGAAGGAAAACAUUGAUUUUUUAUUAGGGUAAUUUUUAAUGACACAUAAUUUAUGCCAUUAUUUACAAUGCCAAAAUUUUGUCAAGAAAACUCAAUUUGUGUCACAAAAAAUUUUGUAUUUUUAUUUUUAACGACACAUUUUAUUCCCUCAUAUCCCUUUUUCUUGAUUUCUAGUGUCAUUAAAACUUAUAUUUCUAAAUAAAUUUAUUCGACGAAAGUGGCUAGAUUGGUGGGUUCGACGGCGAAGGCUUGUUGGGCAGCAACGACAACAGUGGUUGGAGUGUGGAAUCGACGACGACAAGUGGCAAAAAAUUGAAAGGCAAGGGUUCUUCAUAACGACUCGGUAGCCCACUUCGUUCGACGAGAAUUUUUUUGCAUUUUUAGUAGAGUGAGAAAAAAAUUGCAUUAAGACUUCAUUCGACGACAUCGUUUUUGCUUAGAGAAAAUUUGAGGUUUUUACUUUGUUGUAAUUGCGUGAGAGAGGGAAAUUUUGAAAUUUUGAAAAUUUGAGGUUUUU
Molecule: long non-coding RNA, 2075 nt
Filed under: Cucumis sativus (cucumber)
Lineage: Eukaryota; Viridiplantae; Streptophyta; Magnoliopsida; Cucurbitales; Cucurbitaceae
Description: long non-coding RNA (CSAT_LNC003121)
Source: RNAcentral